RNAcentral lists this ribosomal RNA (254 nucleotides) under uncultured bacterium. RNAcentral's name for it is "partial 16S ribosomal RNA". It matches the Rfam family "Bacterial small subunit ribosomal RNA", at positions 524 to 776 of the family's 1533-position model. The record is from RNAcentral.
UACGUAGGGUGCAGGCGUUAAUCGGAAUUACUGGGCGUAAAGCGUGCGCAGGCGGUUUGCUAAGACAGGUGUGAAAUCCCCGGGCUUAACCUGGGAACUGCGCUUGUUACUGGCAGGCUUGAGUGUGGCAGAGGGGGGGUGGAAUUCCACGUGUAGCAGUGAAAUGCGUAGAGAUGUGGAGGAACACCGAUGGCGAAGGCAGCCCCCUGGGCUAACACUGACGCUCAUGCACGAAAGCGUGGGGAGCAAACAGG